CCUACGGAGGCAGCAGUGGGGAAUAUUGGGCAAUGGGCGAAAGCCUGACCCAGCGACGCCGCGUGAGGGACGAAGGCCUUCGGGUUGUAAACCUCUUUCAGCAGGGAAGAAGCGAAAGUGACGGUACCUGCAGAAGAAGCACCGGCUAACUACGUGCCAGCAGCCGCGGUAAUACGUAGGGUGCAAGCGUUGUCCGGAAUUAUUGGGCGUAAAGAGCUCGUAGGUGGUUUGCCACGUCGGAUGUGAAAACCUGAGGCUUAACCUCAGGCCUGCAUUCGAUACGGGCAGACUAGAGUGUGGUAGGGGAGACUGGAAUUCCUGGUGUAGCGGUGAAAUGCGCAGAUAUCAGGAGGAACACCGGUUGGCGAAGGCGGGUCUCUGGGGCCAUAACUGACACUGAGGAGCGAAAGCGUGGGGAGCAAACAGGAUUAGAUACCCUGGUAGUCCACGCCGUAAACGGUGGGCACUAGAUGUGGGGACCUUCCACGGUCUCUGCGUCGCAGCUAACGCAUUAAGUGCCCCGCCUGGGGAAGUACGGCCGCAAGGCUAAAACUCAAAGGAAUUGACGGCUGAGAGNGCGACGACGACACGAGGAGAG
RNAcentral lists this ribosomal RNA (598 nucleotides) under uncultured bacterium. RNAcentral's name for it is "bacterial SSU rRNA". It matches the Rfam family "Bacterial small subunit ribosomal RNA", at positions 338 to 946 of the family's 1533-position model. The record is from RNAcentral.